AGUUAUCAGGCCAUUGUCACAACGUAUCCUAAGGGACUGAAGUUUCCCCCAAAAAAAGUCUCACGGUGGAGGAAAGAGAAAGCCUGAAGCCUGUUGCCAGCUAGAAGAGGGACCUGCCUCUCAGGACACAGCACAGUGCUGCUAACUGCACAGGGAGGGAGCCGGGAGCUGAAGGUGUGCUGUGUCAGUGACAGAAUGGAAAACCAAGAUAGCAGCCCUGACAAGAUCCACCCCUGAGGAUUCUGGGAUGCCUGAUCCUGCCUCAGACUGUUCCAGUGAUGUUUCCUCAAGAGACUUGCUUCCAGAACAGCCUCAGAAAGCUGCUGACCCCAGAUGAUCUUAAUUAGUCCAGCUGUACAGACUGAGCUAGUCAGGACUUCCCUUAAGCCUGAACUUUCCCAGCAUAUAGAGACUGGACAACAAAAGCUGCCAGCUAGCUUUCUUUUGACUUAACCAUUUGUCCUGUCCUUUGAGCCCCCGAAAAGGAAUUCUUCAUCCAAAUUCAGCAGGAAGCAAUUAUCAGAAGACUUUCAUCUUAGCCCCUUAAGUCUGAUCUUUUUUGACAUCGAGGCAUAUCAGCUCCUGGCAGCAUCCCAUUCAACGUGGAGGAAGAUGAUGAACAUCAAAGGACCUCCAUUUGGAGAUGGCUUCAACUGUGGCAGGCCAGCCACUGGGCAAAGAAAAUACCCUAACUUCAUCCUCAGACAGAAUGCUAUCCAAAAAGGACAAACGGAUGCAGGGAAGUUGGUUGCCAAGCUCUGCCAAUACAGA
Molecule: non-coding RNA, 771 nt
Organism: Mus caroli (Ryukyu mouse)
Lineage: Eukaryota; Metazoa; Chordata; Mammalia; Rodentia; Muridae
Source: RefSeq, a predicted model, not a curated record